This 440-nucleotide ribosomal RNA is filed under the name uncultured bacterium. RNAcentral's name for it is "partial 16S ribosomal RNA". It matches the Rfam family "Bacterial small subunit ribosomal RNA", at positions 338 to 795 of the family's 1533-position model. The record is from RNAcentral.
CCUACGGGGGGCAGCAGUGGGGGAUAUUGCACAAUGGGGGAAACCCUGAUGCAGCGACGCCGCGUGGGUGAAGAAGCGCCUCGGCGCGUAAAGCCCUGUCAGCAGGGAAGAAAAUGACGGUACCUGAAGAAGAAGCCCCGGCUAACUACGUGCCAGCAGCCGCGGUAAUACGUAGGGGGCCAACGUUAUCCGGAUUUACUGGGUGUAAAGGGGGCGCAGACGGCGAUGCAAGCCAGGAGUGAAAGCCCGGGGCCCAACCCCGGGACUGCACUUGGAACUGCGUGGCUAGAGUGCAGGAGGGGCGGGCGGAAGUCCUGGGGUAGCGGUGAAAUGCGUAGAUAUCAGGAGGAACACCGGUGGCGAAGGCGGCCUGCUGGACUGCAACUGACGUUGAGGCCCGAAAGCGUGGGGAGCAAACAGGAGUAGAUACCCCGGUAGUC